GGUUAAGCGACUAAGCGUACACGGUGGAUGCCCUGGCAGUCAGAGGCGAUGAAGGGCGUGCUAAUCUGCGAUAAGCGCCGGUAAGGUGAUAUGAACCGUUAUAACCGGCGAUACCCGAAUGGGGAAACCCAGUGUGAUUCGUCACACUAUCAUUAACUGAAUCCAUAGGUUAAUGAGGCGAACCGGGGGAACUGAAACAUCUAAGUACCCUGAGGAAAAGAAAUCAACCGAGAUUCCCCCAGUAGCGGCGAGCGAACGGGGAGGAGCCCAGAGCCUGAAUCAGCAUGUGUGUUAGUGGAAGCGUCUGGAAAGGCGCGCGAUACAGGGUGACAGCCCCGUACACAAAAGCGCAUGUGCUGUGAGCUCGAUGAGUAGGGCGGGACACGUGGUAUCCUGUCUGAAUAUGGGGGGACCAUCCUCCAAGGCUAAAUACUCCUGACUGACCGAUAGUGAACCAGUACCGUGAGGGAAAGGCGAAAAGAACCCCGGCGAGGGGAGUGAAAAAGAACCUGAAACCGUGUACGUACAAGCAGUGGGAGCACCCUUCGGGGUGUGACUGCGUACCUUUUGUAUAAUGGGUCAGCGACUUAUAUUCUGUAGCAAGGUUAACCGUAUAGGGGAGCCGGAGGGAAACCGAGUCUUAACCGGGCGUUAAGUUGCAGGGUAUAGACCCGAAACCCGGUGAUCUAGCCAUGGGCAGGUUGAAGGUUGGGUAACACUAACUGGAGGACCGAACCGACUAAUGUUGAAAAAUUAGCGGAUGACCUGUGGCUGGGGGUGAAAGGCCAAUCAAACCGGGAGAUAGCUGGUUCUCCCCGAAAGCUAUUUAGGUAGCGCCUCGUGAAUUCAUCUCCGGGGGUAGAGCACUGUUUCGGCUAGGGGGCCAUCCCGGCUUACCAACCCGAUGCAAACUGCGAAUACCGGAGAAUGUUAUCACGGGAGACACACGGCGGGUGCUAACGUCCGUCGUGAAGAGGGAAACAACCCAGACCGCCAGCUAAGGUCCCAAAGUCAUGGUUAAGUGGGAAACGAUGUGGGAAGGCCCAGACAGCCAGGAUGUUGGCUUAGAAGCAGCCAUCAUUUAAAGAAAGCGUAAUAGCUCACUGGUCGAGUCGGCCUGCGCGGAAGAUGUAACGGGGCUAAACCAUGCACCGAAGCUGCGGCAGCGAACGUAUCACCCAAGACAACUUUACGGAGUUGACGAUUGACGGAGCGAAGCGACGUCAAAGCGUUCAUUAAAGUCGAGUUGGCUUAGGGAUACGUUCGUUGGGUAGGGGAGCGUUCUGUAAGCCUGUGAAGGUGUGUCGUGAGGCAUGCUGGAGGUAUCAGAAGUGCGAAUGCUGACAUAAGUAACGAUAAAGCGGGUGAAAAGCCCGCUCGCCGGAAGACCAAGGGUUCCUGUCCAACGUUAAUCGGGGCAGGGUGAGUCGACCCCUAAGGCGAGGCCGAAAGGCGUAGUCGAUGGGAAACGGGUUAAUAUUCCCGUACUUGGUGUUACUGCGAAGGGGGGACGGAGAAGGCUAUGUUGGCCGGGCGACGGUUGUCCCGGUUUAAGCGUGUAGGUGUGUGUUCCAGGUAAAUCCGGUUCACUUUAACACUGAGGCGUGACGACGAGGCACUACGGUGCUGAAGCAACAAAUGCCCUGCUUCCAGGAAAAGCCUCUAAGCAUCAGGUAACAUCAAAUCGUACCCCAAACCGACACAGGUGGUCAGGUAGAGAAUACCAAGGCGCUUGAGAGAACUCGGGUGAAGGAACUAGGCAAAAUGGUGCCGUAACUUCGGGAGAAGGCACGCUGACACGUAGGUGAAGUGAUUUACUCAUGGAGCUGAAGUCAGUCGAAGAUACCAGCUGGCUGCAACUGUUUAUUAAAAACACAGCACUGUGCAAACACGAAAGUGGACGUAUACGGUGUGACGCCUGCCCGGUGCCGGAAGGUUAAUUGAUGGGGUCAGCGCAAGCGAAGCUCCUGAUCGAAGCCCCGGUAAACGGCGGCCGUAACUAUAACGGUCCUAAGGUAGCGAAAUUCCUUGUCGGGUAAGUUCCGACCUGCACGAAUGGCGUAAUGAUGGCCAGGCUGUCUCCACCCGAGACUCAGUGAAAUUGAACUCGCUGUGAAGAUGCAGUGUACCCGCGGCAAGACGGAAAGACCCCGUGAACCUUUACUAUAGCUUGACACUGAACAUUGAGCCUUGAUGUGUAGGAUAGGUGGGAGGCUUUGAAGUGUGGACGCCAGUCUGCAUGGAGCCGACCUUGAAAUACCACCCUUUAAUGUUUGAUGUUCUAACGUGGACCCGUUACCCGGGUUGCGGACAGUGUCUGGUGGGUAGUUUGACUGGGGCGGUCUCCUCCUAAAGAGUAACGGAGGAGCACGAAGGUUGGCUAAUCCUGGUCGGACAUCAGGAGGUUAGUGCAAUGGCAUAAGCCAGCUUGACUGCGAGCGUGACGGCGCGAGCAGGUGCGAAAGCAGGUCAUAGUGAUCCGGUGGUUCUGAAUGGAAGGGCCAUCGCUCAACGGAUAAAAGGUACUCCGGGGAUAACAGGCUGAUACCGCCCAAGAGUUCAUAUCGACGGCGGUGUUUGGCACCUCGAUGUCGGCUCAUCACAUCCUGGGGCUGAAGUAGGUCCCAAGGGUAUGGCUGUUCGCCAUUUAAAGUGGUACGCGAGCUGGGUUUAGAACGUCGUGAGACAGUUCGGUCCCUAUCUGCCGUGGGCGCUGGAGAACUGAGGGGGGCUGCUCCUAGUACGAGAGGACCGGAGUGGACGCAUCACUGGUGUUCGGGUUGUCAUGCCAAUGGCACUGCCCGGUAGCUAAAUGCGGAAGAGAUAAGUGCUGAAAGCAUCUAAGCACGAAACUUGCCCCGAGAUGAGUUCUCCCUGAGACUUAGAGUCUCCUGAAGGAACGUUGAAGACGACGACGUUGAUAGGCCGGGUGUGUAAGCGCAGCGAUGCGUUGAGCUAACCGGUACUAAUGAACCGUGAGGCUUAACCUU
Molecule: ribosomal RNA, 2990 nt
Filed under: Salmonella enterica subsp. enterica serovar Typhimurium
Lineage: Bacteria; Pseudomonadati; Pseudomonadota; Gammaproteobacteria; Enterobacterales; Enterobacteriaceae
Description: 23S ribosomal RNA
Rfam family: Bacterial large subunit ribosomal RNA
Source: RNAcentral